GCAGCGGCGGUGACUAUUGUGGUGGUAGCAAUUCCCGAAGGUCUGCCUCUGGCUGUAACUCUAACUCUUGCUUACUCCAUGAAGAGAAUGAUGAAUGAUAAUGCACUGGUGCGUCAACUCUCUGCAUGUGAAACAAUGGGUUCAGCCACAAUGAUCUGCACUGACAAAACAGGCACUCUCACUUUGAAUCAGAUGAAAGUUGUAGAGUUUUGGCUUGGAAAAGACCUAAUUGAGGAUGAUAUUUCAAUGGAAAUGGAACCGAAGGUCUCUCUAUUACUAGAAGAAGGGGUUGCUUUAAAUACAACAGCCAUCAUUGACAAAUCACAAUCUACUUCUAUACCUGAGAUUUCUGGUAGUCCAACUGAGAAGGCGAUAUUAUCUUGGGCUGCCCUAGAUUUGGGAAUGAAUAUCAAUGAAACAAAGAGAAAGUGUGAGAUAAUAAAUGUAGAAACCUUCAAUUCCGAGAGAAAAAGAAGUGGGGUAAUGAUGAGGAAAAACAAUGAGAAAGCAAUUCACACACACUGGAAGGGAGCUGCUGAGAUGAUAGUAGCAAUGUGUUCAACCUAUUACGUUAGAAGUGGAGAACUAGUAGACAUGAAUGAGGAAGAAAGAAAGCAAUUUAAGGAUAUAAUACAUAGUAUGGGCGCCAAAAGCCUGCGAUGCAUUGCCUUUGCGCACAGAAAGGUUGCCGAACAAAACGGGCAAGUCUCUAGAAUGCUUGAUGAAACUGAAUGUACCUUACUGGGGCUUGUGGGAUUGAAGGACCCAUGUAGACCAGGGGUUAGAGCAGCUGUAGAAUCAUGUAAGAAAGCAGAAGUUAAUGUUAAAAUGAUCACUGGUGACAAUCCUGACACCGCAAGAGCUAUAGCUAUUGAAUGUGGAAUUCUCAAUCCGGCAGAGGAUGUGGAUUAC
Molecule: long non-coding RNA, 912 nt
Filed under: Ricinus communis (castor bean)
Lineage: Eukaryota; Viridiplantae; Streptophyta; Magnoliopsida; Malpighiales; Euphorbiaceae
Description: long non-coding RNA (RCOM_LNC000236)
Source: RNAcentral